GGAAUCUUCCGCAAUGGACGAAAGUCUGACGGAGCAACGCCGCGUGAGUGAUGAAGGCUUUCGGGUCGUAAAACUCUGUUGUUAGGGAAGAACAAGUGCUAGUUGAAUAAGCUGGCACCUUGACGGUACCUAACCAGAAAGCCACGGCUAACUACGUGCCAGCAGCCGCGGUAAUACGUAGGUGGCAAGCGUUAUCCGGAAUUAUUGGGCGUAAAGCGCGCGCAGGUGGUUUCUUAAGUCUGAUGUGAAAGCCCACGGCUCAACCGUGGAGGGUCAUUGGAAACUGGGAGACUUGAGUGCAGAAGAGGAAAGUGGAAUUCCAUGUGUAGCGGUGAAAUGCGUAGAGAUAUGGAGGAACACCAGUGGCGAAGGCGACUUUCUGGUCUGUAACUGACACUGAGGCGCGAAAGCGUGGGGAGCAAACAGGAUUAGAUACCCUGGUAGUCCACGCCGUAAACGAUGAGUGCUAAGUGUUAGAGGGUUUCCGCCCUUUAGUGCUGAAGUUAACGCAUUAAGCACUCCGCCUGGGGGAGUACGGCCGCAAGGCUGAAACUCAAAGGAAUUGACGGGGGCCCGCACAAGCGGGUGGAGCAUGUGGUUUAAUUUCGAAGCAACGCGAAGAACCUUUACCAGGUCUUGACAUCCUCUGACAACCUAGAGAUAGGCUUCUCCUUCGGAGCAGAGUGACAGUGGUGCAUGGUUGUCGUCAGCUCGUGUCUGAGAUGUUGGUAGUCC
RNAcentral lists this ribosomal RNA (735 nucleotides) under Bacillus subtilis. Its description in RNAcentral is "bacterial SSU rRNA". It matches the Rfam family "Bacterial small subunit ribosomal RNA", at positions 358 to 1088 of the family's 1533-position model. Lineage: Bacteria; Bacillati; Bacillota; Bacilli; Caryophanales; Bacillaceae. The record is from RNAcentral.